RNAcentral lists this ribosomal RNA (497 nucleotides) under uncultured bacterium. RNAcentral's name for it is "partial 16S ribosomal RNA". It matches the Rfam family "Bacterial small subunit ribosomal RNA", at positions 28 to 507 of the family's 1533-position model. The record is from RNAcentral.
GAUGAACGCUGGCGGCGUGCCUAAUACAUGCAAGUCGAGCGAACAGACGAGGCUCUUGCUCCUCUCACGUUAGCGGCGGACGUGUGAGUAACACGUGGAUAACCUCCCUAUCAGACUGGGAUCACUUCGGGACACCGGCGCUAAUCCCGGAUAAUAUAUUGCACCGCAUGGUUCAAUAGUGAGAGACGGCUUUGCUGUCUCUUCUCGCUGGAUCCGCGCCGCAUUAGCUAGUUGGUAAGGUAACGGCUUACCAAGGCAACGAUGCGUAGCCGACCUGAGAGGGUGAUAGGCCACACUGGAACGUAGACACGGUCAAGACUCCUACGGGAGGCAGCAGUAGGGAAUCUGACGCAAUGGGCGAAAGCCUGACGGAGCAACGGGGAGUGAGUGAUGAAGGUGUUCGGAUCGUAAAACUCUGUUAUGAGGGAAGAACAAAUGUGUAAGUAACUAUGCACGUCGUGACGGUACCUAAUCAGAAAGCCACGGCUAACUACGUG